This 428-nucleotide long non-coding RNA is filed under the name Capsicum annuum. RNAcentral describes it as "long non-coding RNA (CANN_LNC011284)". The record is from RNAcentral. Lineage: Eukaryota; Viridiplantae; Streptophyta; Magnoliopsida; Solanales; Solanaceae.
UUUUGAAGUCAGAUUAUCAGCACUAUCAGAGGCAAGCAACUCUCACUAAACAAAAGUGAGCCUUUAAUUUAUUUUGAAUUAGUUCUCUUUCUUUUUUAUUGCAAAGUGAGUCCAAUGUUGGAUCAUUAGAACAAUUUCAGGGUUUAAAUUAUUCUAGUGUGAUAAUCUGAAUGUUUGAUCAUACCAAUUGUUUGCAUAUUUUUUUGUUUUCCUAUGAACUGAAUUCAGGUUCAAAAGUCUUCUAAGUUAAUUAGCAACAUAAUAAGCGACACUUUUUCUGUUUUGUUAUUUGGCUUCAGAAAUUGCCUUUCAAUCUGAAACAAGGUGUUUGGGUUAAAUCAUUAAGACGAUAUAGUUUAUGUUAUCAAGGAUGAUGCUUUCAUUAAUCAUCAGAAUUCUGUUCAACAGCUUUCAGUAAAGUUUUAGUA